Molecule: ribosomal RNA, 460 nt
Filed under: uncultured bacterium
Lineage: Bacteria
Description: partial 16S ribosomal RNA
Rfam family: Bacterial small subunit ribosomal RNA
Source: RNAcentral
CCUACGGGGGACAGCAGUGAGGAAUAUUGGUCAAUGGCCGGAAGGCUGAACCAGCCAUGCCGCGUGAAGGUCAGUGCCCUAUGGGCGUUAAACUUCUUUUGUGCGGGAGCAAUAAUGGUCACGUGUGGCCAGACGAGAGUACCGUACGAAUAAGCAUCGGCUAACUCCGUGCCAGCAGCCGCGGUAAUACGGGGGAUGCAAGCGUUAUCCGGAUUUAUUGGGUUUAAAGGGUGCGUAGGCUGUGAGGUAAGUCAGCGGUGAAAUGCCCCCGCUCAACGGGGUGAAGUGCCAUUGAUACUGCCUGGCUGGAAUGCGGAGGCGGUAGGAGGAAUGUGUGGUGUAGCGGUGAAAUGCAUAGAGAUCACACAGAACACCGAUUGCGAAGGCAUCUCACGAAUCCGCGAUUGACGCUGAUGCACGAAAGCGUGGGUAUCAAACAGGAUUAGAUACCCCAGUAGUC